AAUUCUCCGACCUUGCCUUUACGGUCUGUAGUAGUAAUAGCCUUCUAUUCUGUUUUUUAGUAGCAGCAUUCCCCUAUAAUCUUAGUAUGCAAUAUAUCCUGUGAGUAUAGAUUACAUCUAAACCUCUAUCUUCUGCUUCUUUUAGGGGCUUAAGAAAGCCUUUUAGUUAGAGAGUUAGAGAAACUGCUGUUAUAGGUAGUCGACUAAUUAUUGUAUGCAAGGGGUAUAGAGGAUAGAUAGCUCUUAUUA
Molecule: long non-coding RNA, 249 nt
Filed under: Ricinus communis (castor bean)
Lineage: Eukaryota; Viridiplantae; Streptophyta; Magnoliopsida; Malpighiales; Euphorbiaceae
Description: long non-coding RNA (RCOM_LNC003218)
Source: RNAcentral